UCUGUCCUUUUUUGCAUAUUAUAGGACAACGUGUGCAGGAAUCCAUGGGGCGUGUGGAUUCUCAGGGAGUUUUGCUGCGCACCCUUCAGCUAAACCCACGAAGGCGCAGGAGGUACUCUGUACCAGCGCCAAACAGUUUGUGGCACAUCGACGGAAAUCACAAGUUAAUAAGAAUAGAGAGGCUCUGGAGAUAUGUUUACACCGGAGUGCUUGAUCUCUUCUACAGCAUCUUUAACAACCUUGAGAGAGAAGGGCUUCUAAAUCCUGACAGCGAAGUUCAUGUGUUUGCUCUACAUUGGUGCUUUCUGCCUCACGUUCAGAAGCACCUUGAGGUUUUCUAGCGUGGCUGGAACUGCCACCAACUGAGCACUGAGGGAAAUCAGUCCCCACUUCAGCUGUGGUCUCGCCAUGAACAUGAGGCACAGCAGGACCUCAUGCAGGUUGUCACGGACUAUGGAGUUGACUGGACUGGACCAAAUGGUUAUCAUCAGCCUGAUGUUGUGGUCCCUGAAGUUCAGCUACAGUGCUCGCUGAUAGAGCAGGAAAUACAAAGACUACCAAAACCUGAUGGCCCUCUGUCCAAUGUGUUGGAUGUCUACAUACAAACUGUGAGCCAGUUAUCAGAAAUGCUCCUGUAAAUUCCGGAUUCAAAAGCUGUAAGAUGCAGAAGGUUUAACCUAAAUAAGAAGCAAGUAGUAGUUAAUGCUGUACUUUAUAACAGCUGUGAUACUAAUGGGGAUUUCCUGUAAGAUUCCAAUUUUCUUGUUAAAAUCACAAUUAAAGACGAUUCUGAGA
Molecule: long non-coding RNA, 795 nt
Organism: Cyprinus carpio (common carp)
Lineage: Eukaryota; Metazoa; Chordata; Actinopteri; Cypriniformes; Cyprinidae
Exons: 3
Source: RefSeq, a predicted model, not a curated record